UCCUCCUCCCCCAUAGGCUCCGCCCCCGCCGUUGUCCCCGAGGUCACCAUCCACCCCCCGUCCCGGGAGGACUUCGAAGGUCCCCACCGCAACUCCACCCUCCUCUGCCAGUACCGGGGACCUCGGGCCUUGUCCCCGACCUCCUUCCGCUGGUUGAAGAACGGGGUCCUCCUCACCCAAGGGGUCACCACCCGCGGGCCGUUGGCCGACGGCCACGGGGGCUACCUCACCAGCAGCCGGGCCACCGUCACCGAGGAGGAGUGGGACGCGGGGACCAUCUACACCUGCCAGGCGGAGGAGGAGAUGAGGAACACCAGUAAAGCCCUGGAGUGCGGCUACGGCCGGCCGGAGGGGGACGAGGACAUCUCCGUGCAGGUGGUCCCCCCGGCCUUCGUGGACAUCUUCAACGACAAGGUAGCCAAACUGACCUGCAAAGUAGCCAACUUGCCCAGCGUGGAAGGUUUGGUGAUCACCUGGUGGAAAGAAAUGGGAGAAAAACUGGAAACCAAAAUUUCCCCCCAAAUCUUACAGCCCAACGGGCUCUUCGGGGUGGAGGGGGUGGCCACCGUCUGCGCCGACGACUGGGCCAAGGGCCACCUCUACACCUGCAAGGUGGCCCACCCCCAGCUCCUCUUCCCCGCCGAGGCCCAGCUCCAGAAGGUCAACGGUAGGUCCACGGGGAAAGAAUCGGGGGGAAAAUGGGGGAAAUUGAAUCAAUUUUGGGAAAUUUGGGGGAAAAUUGAGGAAAUCGGAACGAAAUUUGAGAAUUUUGGGAGAAACGGGUGA
Molecule: non-coding RNA, 786 nt
Organism: Calidris pugnax (ruff)
Lineage: Eukaryota; Metazoa; Chordata; Aves; Charadriiformes; Scolopacidae
Source: the annotation of a RefSeq genome assembly